Molecule: long non-coding RNA, 177 nt
Organism: Chelonia mydas (Green sea turtle)
Lineage: Eukaryota; Metazoa; Chordata; Testudines; Cheloniidae
Exons: 3
Source: RefSeq, a predicted model, not a curated record
GUGCGCCGCUGCUUUGUUCCAGGGACCGCCACGGACUCAGAGGACGAGGAGAAGGUAGCAGUGGACAUGGCCAUGAGGAGGCUGCUCUCAAGAACAUCCGAGAGCAGUUCCAAGGCCGAGAAAAGCCCACUCCUGGUGGGUGCAGGAUGAGGCCCAGCAACUCAUGUUCCUGCAUGC